Molecule: ribosomal RNA, 403 nt
Filed under: uncultured bacterium
Lineage: Bacteria
Description: bacterial SSU rRNA
Rfam family: Bacterial small subunit ribosomal RNA
Source: RNAcentral
GGGGAAUAUUGGGCAAUGGGCGAAAGCCUGACCCAGCAACGCCGCGUGAGGGAAGAAGGUCUUCGGAUUGUAAACCUUUGUCCUAUGGGACGAAACAAAUGACGGUACCAUAGGAGGAAGCUCCGGCUAACUACGUGCCAGCAGCCGCGGUAAUACGUAGGGAGCAAGCGUUGUCCGGAAUUACUGGGCGUAAAGGGUGCGUAGGUGGCCAUGUAAGUCAGGUGUGAAAGACCGGGGCUCAACCCCGGGGCGGCACUUGAAACUGUGUGGCUUGAGUACAGGAGAGGGAAGUGGAAUUCCUAGUGUAGCGGUGAAAUGCGUAGAUAUUAGGAGGAACACCAGUGGCGAAGGCGACUUUCUGGACUGUAACUGACACUGAGGCACGAAAGCGUGGGGAGCAAAC